RNAcentral lists this ribosomal RNA (485 nucleotides) under uncultured Bacillota bacterium. Its description in RNAcentral is "bacterial SSU rRNA". It matches the Rfam family "Bacterial small subunit ribosomal RNA", at positions 355 to 830 of the family's 1533-position model. The record is from RNAcentral. Lineage: Bacteria; Bacillati; Bacillota.
UAGGGAAUCUUCCGCAAUGGACGAAAGUCUGACGGAGCAACGCCGCGUGAGCGAAGAAGGCCUUCGGGUCGUAAAGCUCUGUUGUCAGGGAAGAACAAGUGCCAUUCGAAUAGGCUGGCACCUUGACGGUACCUGACCAGAAAGCCACGGCUAACUACGUGCCAGCAGCCGCGGUAAUACGUAGGUGGCAAGCGUUGUCCGGAAUUAUUGGGGCGUUAAAGCGCGCGCAGGCGGUCCUUUAAGUCUGAUGUGAAAGCCCACGGCUCAACCGUGGAGGGUCAUUGGAAACUGGAGGACUUGAGUGCAGAGAGAAGAGUGGAAUUCCACGUGUAGCGGUGAAAUGCGUAGAGAUGUGGAGGAACACCAGUGGCGAAGGCGACUCUUUGGUCUGUAACUGACGCUGAGGCGCGAAAGCGUGGGGAGCAAACAGGAUUAGAUACCCUGGUAGUCCACGCCGUAAACGAUGAGUGCUAAGUGUUAGGGGG